CCUAACCUAGGAGUUCGAUGGGAC
RNAcentral lists this microRNA (24 nucleotides) under Oryza sativa (Asian cultivated rice). Its description in RNAcentral is "osa-miR5811". The record is from miRBase by way of RNAcentral. Lineage: Eukaryota; Viridiplantae; Streptophyta; Magnoliopsida; Poales; Poaceae.